Molecule: ribosomal RNA, 458 nt
Filed under: uncultured bacterium
Lineage: Bacteria
Description: partial 16S ribosomal RNA
Rfam family: Bacterial small subunit ribosomal RNA
Source: RNAcentral
CCUACGGGAGGCAGCAGUGAGGACUAUUGGUCAAUGGGCGAGAGCCUGAACCAGCCAAGUCGCGUGAGGGAGUACUGCCCUAUGGGUUGUAAACCUCUUUUGUCGGGGAGCAAAAGCCGGACGUGUCCGGCUGUGAGAGUACCCGAAGAAAAAGCAUCGGCUAACUCCGUGCCAGCAGCCGCGGUAAUACGGAGGAUGCGAGCGUUAUCCGGAUUUAUUGGGUUUAAAGGGUGCGCAGGCGGAUUUUUAAGUCAGCGGUAAAAUCGUGGGGCUCAACCCCAUCCAGCCGUUGAAACUGGGGAUCUAGAGUGUGCGAGAGGUAUGCGGAAUGCGUGGUGUAGCGGUGAAAUGCAUAGAUAUCACGCAGAACCCCGAUUGCGAAGGCAGCAUACCGGUGCACAACUGACGCUCAGGCACGAAAGCGUGGGUAUCGAACAGGAUUAGAUACCCUUGUAGUC